This is a non-coding RNA of Bos taurus (domestic cattle), 72 nucleotides long. NCBI's taxonomy places the organism in Eukaryota, Metazoa, Chordata, Mammalia, Artiodactyla, Bovidae. The record is from Rfam.
UCCCUGGUGGCUCAGAUGGUAAAGCGUCUGCCUACAAUGCAGGAGACCCGGGUUCGAUCCCUGGGUCGGGAA